UCGGGAAUUUUGGGCAAUGGGCGAAAGCCUGACCCAGCAACGCCGCGUGAAGGAUGAAGUAUUUCGGUAUGUAAACUUCGAAAGAAUAGGAAGAAUAAAUGACGGUACUAUUUAUAAGGUCCGGCUAACUACGUGCCAGCAGCCGCGGUAAUACGUAGGGACCAAGCGUUGUUCGGAUUUACUGGGCGUAAAGGGCGCGUAGGCGGCAUGACAAGUCACUUGUGAAAUCUCUGGGCUUAACCCAGAACGGCCAAGUGAUACUGUCGCGCUAGAGUGCAGAAGGGGCAAUCGGAAUUCUUGGUGUAGCGGUGAAAUGCGUAGAUAUCAAGAGGAACACCUGAGGUGAAGACGGGUUGCUGGGC
RNAcentral lists this ribosomal RNA (362 nucleotides) under uncultured bacterium. Its description in RNAcentral is "bacterial SSU rRNA". It matches the Rfam family "Bacterial small subunit ribosomal RNA", at positions 355 to 734 of the family's 1533-position model. The record is from RNAcentral.